RNAcentral lists this ribosomal RNA (1010 nucleotides) under uncultured SAR86 cluster bacterium. RNAcentral's name for it is "bacterial SSU rRNA". It matches the Rfam family "Bacterial small subunit ribosomal RNA", at positions 376 to 1379 of the family's 1533-position model. The record is from RNAcentral. Lineage: Bacteria; Pseudomonadati; Pseudomonadota; Gammaproteobacteria.
CGCAGCCUGAUCAGCCAUACCGCGUGUGUGAAGAAGGCCUUCGGGUUGUAAAGCACUUUAAGCAGGGAGAAAAAGUUAUAAGCUAAUAUCUUAUGACCUUGAUGUUACCUGCAGAAUAAGCACCGGCUAAUUCCGUGCCAGCAGCCGCGGUAAUACGGAAGGUGCAAGCGUUAAUCGGAAUUACUGGGCGUAAAGCGCGCGUAGGUGGUUUGUUAAGUUGGAUGUGAAAGCCCUGGGCUCAACCUAGGAACUGCAUCCAAAACUAACUCACUAGAGCACGAUAGAGGGAGGUAGAAUUCAUAGUGUAGCGGUGGAAUGCGUAGAUAUUAUGAAGAAUACCAGUGGCGAAGGCGGCCUCCUGGAUCUGCACUGACACUGAGGUGCGAAAGCGUGGGUAGCGAACAGGAUUAGAUACCCUGGUAGUCCACGCCGUAAACGAUGACAACUAGCUGUUGGGAGACAAAGUCUUUCAGUGGCGCAGCUAACGCUUUAAGUUGUCCGCCUGGGGAGUACGGCCGCAAGGCUAAAACUCAAAUGAAUUGACGGGGACCCGCACAAGCAGUGGAGCAUGUGGUUUAAUUCGACGCAACGCGAAGAACCUUACCAGCGUUUGACAUGGGAAGUACCGGUUACAGAAUGGUAACCUUCAGUUCGGCUGGCUUCCACACAGGUGCUGCAUGGCUGUCGUCAGCUCGUGUCGUGAGAUGUUGGGUUAAGUCCCGCAACGAGCGCAACCCUUAUCGUUAGUUACUAACAGUUCGGCUGAGGACUCUAGCGAAACUGCCGGUGAUAAGCCGGAGGAAGGUGGGGAUGACGUCAAGUCCUCAUGGCCCUUACACGCUGGGCUACACACGUGCUACAAUGGUAACUACAACGGGACGCAAUACCGCGAGGUGGAGCAAAUCCCAAAAAGUUAUCUCAGUUCGGAUUGCACUCUGCAACUCGAGUGCAUGAAGUUGGAAUUGCUAGUAAUCGCGGAUCAGCAUGCCCGGGUGAAUACGUUCCCGGGU